GGCCAGUGCAAAGGGGCUCUUUCCCCCUGCCUGCCUGUGAGAAGCUCUUGCUGGUGCCGCUGGUCUCUUGCCGCCCUCCUGGCCAAGGACUUCUUGGCUCCGGCGCAGUUGCACGUGGUGGUGCCGCUGCCCAUCGUUGGCCAUGGAAUUGCAGGAAAAAGCAUGAGCCAAGAUGACAAGCCCAGCCGAGUGAUGAAUGUAGCCAAGGAAAUGUCUGUACAGAGGAUCAUUUUCAUGAUGGAUUUUGAUGAACCCUUCUGCCAUCAUGUUCAUAUUCAAUGAAGAAGAGGAAAUGAGACGUGGAUGCAGGGCAGCCAGCCUCACCCUGAUCCCUGAAUAGAUUAUGGAACAAAUCCUCCUUGCAGUCACAUUCAUGGCCACAAAGGAUAAGGUGACCACUGAUAUCAAUAGCCCAGUCUGGUUGCCUUCUGUGAAGGGUCCUAUGGACAAGGGGAGAGCAGUGGAUGUUUACCCUAUCUUACAAAUUACAACAAGAACAAAAAUGUGGAGUGGAUGGAAAUCCAACAAAAUGGAUGGAAAGCUGUGUGUACUGCUGUGACUGGCAAUCAACAGCUUGAAGUCUAGAAGGCGGUCAGCUGGGAAUGGAGAACCUCCACAGCUGGUAGUGAAAGUAACAGUGUUUUAUGGUUUACUCACCUGGUGAUGGGAUACACCGUGCCCUCAGCAAACUGGCGGAUAACACCAAACUGAAUAAUGGGGGGAGGAGGAGAGCAGGACAGCCUAAAACAUGGGAGGAAAGUUCAUUCAGUUGCAUUGCUACCGGUUGGAGUGAUGGGCUGACAGAAAAUUCAUUAAGCUCAUCGGAUCUGCAUCUGGGAAAAAAUAAACCAAGGGAUCUGGGAAUAAUGGUGGACACAAUAAGUGUCAGCAGCAUGCCUCCUGGCUCUCGUGAAGGCCAACCCCAUACCAGGCUGCAUAAGAAAUGCAUUGUCAAGAGGUUAAAGGAAGUGAUUUUUCUCCUGUAUUCAACACUUGUAAGGCAGAUCUGGAGUUCAUGAUCGGUCUGGGGCUUCCCAGUACAAGAACAGAUAUUAACAAAUCUGAGUAUAGCAGAGAACCAACAAAACUGUUAAAAGACUAACAUGUGGCACAGCCCAAAGGAGGCUAAGCUGGGAUUGUUCAACCUGAACAUUAAGGUUGCAGGGUCUACAGACUACGAAUACCUGGUGGAUAAUUAUAGAAAAGAGAGAGCCAGACUCUUCUCAAAAGAAAAAAUAGAAGAGGUGGUAGGAAAGCUACAGAAAGUGAAUCUGACUGUGCAUCAGAAAAAAACACACACUGAAGAUGCUACAAAACUGGAACAGGAAACCGUAGAGGCUGUCAAACAUCCUGGAAAUACACAAAAUUUGGCCCACUUUCAAAGUCAGCCGUGCUUCGAUAAGGAGAGGUUGACCCAGGUGACCUUCUGAAGCCUCUUCAACCCAAACUAUUCAACGAUUCUAAAAGCUGAAAAUAAGAAUGCAAGCUUCACAGUGUGGCUAACAAAACACACAGACGUCUGUUUCUGUUAUCUUAUGCCGUGUAACACUGCAUUCUACUAACUCAAGAUAGUUUUCAUAGCAUCAUCAGUUUUAACUUAAGCCCUCAUUAUCAAAUAGUCCAGGCCACAUAUGCGUUCAGGUACAGAUACUCUGUAAAAAGCAUAAAUCCUACAAGAAAUAGCACUGAAGAGUUCAGGAGUGAUGUUUAUCUCUAUGCAAGUAAAGUACCCCAAUUCCAGGCACAACUCAAGUCCUGGCCAUCUCUUCUUCCGUCCAACAGCUCUGGUUAUUUCUUUGACACGUGAAGAGAAACAACAUGAACUGUGGUUAAUAUCCUUUGUGGAAUACGGUAUUAAGUCAUGUACUGUUCCAGGUACACAAGAGCUAGGAUCUUGCAUACACUGAAAUGUUGCCUCUAAAGCAUGAGAAGUUUUCCUCCUACAGCUGCAGCAAACAUUUAUGAAAAUGACUUCCAUAGCUUAACUUUGGUUUACUUCUUUGCAUGUUUUCAUAAAAAUUCUAUGACCUAAAGAUGUGAAGACAGCAUCACAGCUGACAUUUGUUGUGUUCUGUUGUUGUUUUUAAAACCACUAACUACAUUUCUACAGAUUUUUCAAAAAGUCAACAUUUAUUCAAAAUUUUUUAUACUAUCAGCAAUCCUUCGGGAAGAAUUAUGCUUUUAAAAAUAAAUGUUUAAACAGUAAGAUGUAAAGCUAAUAACGGUCUUCAGUUUAUGAACACCUUACCCAAAAGCAGAUGGGGAACACGCAACUGAAGAAGUGCAGCAAUCUCCUUGUGAGAAGGUAAAAACCUCUUCAUAUGAUCACAUGAAACGGCAACUAAGAAGGUGACUACUUGCCCAUUUCCUGCUCACUGUUUUCUACGCCGGUUACAAGCAGAAUGAUUGACCACUGCAUUGUAUAGCUCUUUGCUUCCUUCUGGUCACGAUCACACCACCUUCUACUCAGAGAAACAAGAACAUUCAAUGCAGAUUUACUAAAAGAACUCUUUCCAGUUGAUGGUAAAUUACAUAUAACAAUGACUUUUAUCACGACAGAGAAUGUAAGAAUGGUUAAGAGGAUACGCUCGACAGUUAACAGGAUAUGCUGACCAUACUUUCCUCGUUGUGUCACGAAUUCUAGGAGUCAUGAAAGAAUACAGACACUGGGAUUCUUUACAAAAUCUUGUACUAGUCUACUUCUGGAACGAUUAAACAUCUGUGACAGAGAGUCUAUCCACUCCAUAUAGGGAAACAUUUAUGUAGUACCAUCAGUUAAAGCCUGAAGGAAAGGAACAACUGUUUAAACCAGUUUACCAAAACUAAACGUACAUCGAGAAGAAAAAAAAAUAUAAGUGGAUGCAAAAAAGAGGGCAUGUCUAGCUAUAGCAUAGACUCCUUCAUAACUAAGGAAACAAAUAAUACUCUUACGUUUGCUAGGGUGCCCGUUCAGCCACACGCUUAACCACAGCUUCCAUUUAACACAUUCGUCUUUAAGGAGCAGGAAUUAGAAGCCUGUGACCGAUUUGCACUCAAAAAACUCCCAAGAUCCUGCACCUUCUGCCCCCCGCCCUAGCUCUUUUCUGUUGCACAUCUUCCUCUCCCCAGGUAGCAGGCACAAAUAAAACAAACCAAUAAAGUUCAUCCACCUGAGCUGAGGUUUUGUUUGCUUUGUUUUUUUUUUUUUUUUUUGGACGGACAAUUCUGCCA
Molecule: long non-coding RNA, 3210 nt
Organism: Gallus gallus (chicken)
Lineage: Eukaryota; Metazoa; Chordata; Aves; Galliformes; Phasianidae
Exons: 2
Source: RefSeq, a predicted model, not a curated record